GUUAUUAUAAGAAAUCAAAAAUGGGAAGAACCAUACCUUCUUCCUAAAGUGAAUUUCUGUAUUGUCCUUCCAGUCUUUGGCAGAGGUAGUAGCAAAAGAAGCAACAGCAAUCUCCACUCCACUUGAUAAUGUUCCUUUGAACAAUUUCCCAAUGGGGCAAGAUCCAAUGACAUUACUAAAAUCUUCACAUGCAGCUUCAAUCUCAGAUCUUUUAAGUACAGGUAUACCUGAGCAUCAAAAAAUCACACAUUGAUGAAACCAAAGUAAGUGCACUAGCCAAAACAUUCUAUGUUAUGUAACAAUUUAAGAAAGGAAAUUACCAGUAACGAAUACUUUCUGAGUUGUCCACUAAGACCAGUACGCCAAGGAUUCACAGUUUUCCCGGCCUUACUAGUGAAAAAGUAGAGACCGGUAGCUACAAGGAGAAGAAAAAAGGCACCGCCUACGCAGCCAACUACUAAAGGAACAGCCACUGAAGAAGAAUGAGCGUUUCUUGGAGUGGAAGGAUUUACAAGUGACACAGAAGGUGAAGGUGAAACAUCUUGUGUAGAUGAUCUCUUUUGUGGCUCUGGAACUGUUGAAGAUUUAGUUGAAACAUGUUUAGGAGAAGGUUGUGGUGACGAUGAUGGUGUUAUAGUUGCAGCCACAACACGGUUUUUGCGGUCUUUUCUCGAAGGUAAAUCUUUGUAAGGGUAACGGACAAGUGUUUUCCUGUGAAAUCCAAAAGCUUUCCUAUCAAAAGGUAGAAAACGAAAUUGAAGCCAUUGCCAAAACAUGCUCUAAAAUAAAGAUCAAAAUAUAGUAAGUUACAGUAUAUAGUUUAUAAGCAUGAUUAAGUGUCGGUUACAAAUUGUGAAAUAAAUUUGUAGAUCUCUACCAACCCCGUUGGCCGUUGGGACUUUGAUGCUAUAGAUGAGUUCUAUAAAGGUGAUAUGCCAGAUUGGCCAUCGAAUGAUGAUAAGUUACAGUUCUAUGAGGUGAGGUGUUACUUUGACUCAUCUUCUUUGAUGAUAAGUUUCAAUUUCUUUUGAUUCAUCUUCUAUGAGCUCGAGGUGAUCUGUUUUGACUUGUCUUUCUUCAACUAACUUUAGAUGUUUAAAAAUGUAUAGGUGAAUGAAUCAGAGUUGCGAGACAAUGAAUGGCUUCAUCUAUAUGCUGAAGUUGCAUUGUUCUCCGAGUGGGAAUCUGACAUGGUGAGGAUAUUAAAAGCAUAUAGAUAUGUGAGCUUAGGACAUUCUUUUCUCAAGUCGAGCAAUGCAAUCUUCUACAUGAGUUUCAAGGUUCGUGAAGGUCCCGAUUGCAGAGGUAUAAUAAGAAAAACAAGUGAUGGAAGAACAGGACAUAUGCGCCUUGAAGCUAGAUGUUGGAUCGACAAGUAAAUACGAUGGUGGCUAGUAUUUCGAUAUUUUGUGGAUUAUCUUGCAAUGUUUAAGUAAUUUACGGCAUGAUUCAUUUAUUUAUGCAUGGUAAUAAUAUAGUUACUUAACUUGAAGAGGACAAGAAACUUGGAUUUUACUAGAUAACUACAAAAGACACGUAUAAAACUCAGCUUUUGUUGGUGAAUGGCUCUCUUCUUACGCCGUAGACAAGACCUCCAAUUCUGGCCACCAAAGAGGUGAGAACUUAGACGUUGCAUCGUUAGCCGUGAUUUCCCAUAACCAACCGUGACUUCUUGCAUUCUCGAUCUUCUUAUUAUAAGAUUCUAGUGUUGGCCAGAGUGUCUCUCCUAUUAAAAAAUCAACCAGGCCCCUAUCUACCGAGUCGAGUUUGUUAACCGAUUCCGGGAGUUUCCCGGUUAUCAUUUCAAAUAAUAAUAAACCAUUUUUGUCAAUUAGGCCUGUGAGCUUUUCUUUUAAAAAAAAAAAAUAGUGAUUUUGAAUUUGGAUUUAAAUAUUGACUCAUAAAUCUUAAUUGAACCGGGUUGUGACAUGCUUAACCCGGACUCGGUUAUAUGGGCGAUUCCCGUUUGAACCGGUCGGUGUUAAAUCACUAUUCAUUUGUCUUAACCAUCAUUGAUUGAUUUGGGGUUAAAAAGGAAAUUGGGGUCUAUUUACAUUAAACCUAAAAAAAAAUCAAUUGGGAAUAGACAAACCCUUGUCGGCUUGUCGUGUCCGUCCAGCAAAACUUAUCAGACUCUCCCAAUCAGUUUGGAAGUAGAAGACGACUGUUCACCGGAAAGAUGUAUGAUGUGAUGUUGGAUGAAGCGAACUUGUGGUUUCACGAAUACGAACCUCCUCUCCGUAGGCGGAAGAUCGAAGAAGCUCCACCUUCACCUGUGGAAGACCUUUAUUUCUCCGACGAAGAAGACAUGAGUCCCGAGGAACGCGAAAAGUAUCGUCUUCAAGUUGUUGAGUCCUGUGUAAUUCUCUUUUAACUCUUUUCAAGUUUUGACGCUUACAAGAUUUGUGCUUUCGUAUCAUACAAUUGAUUUUUGGAUUUUGGUAAUUAGGGAUUCGAUGUUGAUUUCUUCAAGCAUACGUUUAAUGGGAUAAUGCCAAGUGGAUGUUGUCCCUAUGACACACUCUUCGCAAAGGCAGGACUCCAUUGUUACAAUCUUGAAAAGGUUUACUCUUUUCUUUUCUCUUUGAUAUUACUCUCUCCUCCUUGUGAGCUACUAUUGUAGAAUGUUGAUAUUCGUCACUGGUCAUUGUUUCUACCUUGUAGGGGAAGAACUUACAGUUCAAGACUGUAGUAAAAGUUAACGCCGAAAUCGGUUCCCUUUACAAUUCCUAUUCAACAUCUGAGGUGAUGGAUCCGGUUAACAACUCUCUUCACACUUUCCAAACUUUAGUCACGGAUGCAGGGAAGAUGAACAAAGCGCGCUUGAUACUUGUCACAAAAAUAUGCAGACUUAAGCCUCAAGUACCAGGUGUGGAAAGACUUUCAUGACUUGGUUUGUAAUUUGUCAUUAACGUUGCCAUGAAGAUUAUCAUACGCUUGUAAAACAUGGUUAAUCAUUUGGACAUGUUUUAGGCAUUGGAGAUGCAAAUGGCCGUUGGGACUUUGAUGCUAUAGAUGAUUUCUAUAAAGGUGAUAUGCCAGAUUGGCCACCGAAUGGUGCAUGUACUAAAGGUGAUAAGCUACUACAGUUCUAUGAGGUGAGGUGUUAGUUUUUUACUCAUUUAAUACAUAAUGUAAUCCAUCUUUAGUGUUUUUGCUUGUAUACAAGAUUAUCUUUUUUUCCAACUAAUUUUAGAUGUUUAAAACUGCAGGUGAAGGAAUCAGAGUUGCGAGACAAUGAAUGGAUUUCUCUAUAUGCUGAAGCUGCAUUGUUCUCCGAGUGGCACUCUGACAUGGUGAGGAUAUAAUAGCAUAUAGAUAUGUGAACAUAGGACAUCCAUUUCUCAAAAAACCUUUUUUUAAUUUGCAGAGUGCUUAUACACCAUUUGAGAUGAAGAAAGUAGUGGUACAAACAAAAGAAGAUGUAGACUCGAGUAUGAAGCUCAAGUCGAGCAAUGCAAUCUUCUACAUGACUUUCAAGGUUCGUGAAGGUCCCGAUUGCAGAGGGAUAGUAAGAAAAACAAGUGAUGGAAGAACAGGACAUAUGCGCCUUGAAGCUAGAUGUUGGAUCGACAAGUAAAGCUGAUAAUGACCAGUAAUCUGAUUUUGUGUGGUCUUUUUUUUAUGUAUUGAUCUUGCUAUGUUUAAAUGGUAUCUAUCUAUGGCAGAAGUAGCAAAGUUCGCACUACUUGUUUCCCUCUGGAUUUUUUUUUAUAAUUAAAAUGCUCUAUUUAAGAUGUGCGCUUUUAUCAACUAUCUUAUAUCUUGUUUCAAGGAAAUUACUUUGAUGUGCAAACACUUGAUGCGAUGAGAUAAACUAAAAGUGUUUUGCAAACGAUGCAGACAGUUGUUAGUAGCAAAAGACAAAAUCAAACUCUUGUUUUCACUUCACAAACACAGACUCAGUUGAGUUUACUAGCUCCAUGCCUUUUCUUCCGCCUCUCUUCCUCUUCCCGUGAGAGUAAUCUCGGAUAGCUGAAUCUUCUGAGCAAUGGACUUGGUUCAGCAAAGUAGGUAUUCGCCUUAGUGUUAAUCUCUUCACCCGGAGUGGGUACAUAAACAAGCAUAAUAUCUAUUGAGAUCUUCAUGUAACCGUUUUUUCCAAACUUAUCGCCAUGACUUGAUCUCGCCACUACGUAUUUUUCCCCAUUCUCCUCAUCUGCUGCUACUAGUGAAACGGCAUGCAGUCCAACGAGCCUUGACCUUUGAAGUACAGGCCCUCGAUAGAUCUUCAAACAAAAAACCAAACCAAUAUUAGCUUGCAUGAUAAAUUUAACACUGCAAAACAACGCAUAACUUACAUUUUCUCCAAUUUCAUUGUACUCUGGGAAAAACAUUGCCACAGCAGCUCCGAUGGGUUGGUGCUUAAGUUGGAGAAGCGCUUCCUCGAUUGUAUCUAUUCUCUUGAAGUCUUUGAUGUACCCUAAUCCCGAUAAGACACGAUCAGGAAUAUAUUGAGGACAUCCCGUGAAUGGUCUAUCUUCUUCUCUUUGAAUCCCAUUUUCCAUUACGUAACGCAUUCCUCUGUUGAUGCUUGAGGUGUAGCAGUAGUGACCGUCAUUGCGAACUUGUCUUCGCUGCACCGGAUCUGUAAAAUCAAUCAAAUCUUGCACAGAGUACUCUAUGUUAGGAUCUGUGUCACGACCGUUAAUCAAUCUCACUGCCCUUAUAAGAUCUCUUGCAACGACAGCCCAGCAAAUAUCUGAAAACAUACGAAAACAAACUUCGUUAACUAAAUUUUUUGUUAAGAAAAAUGUUAUAUGUUUUGUUCUUACCGUGAUCUAGUUGGUUUGCCACUAUCCCCAUAAUGAUUGCCCAAUCCACAUCAUCUAAGCAAACGGGAAAGAUCUGUACCUCAAAACAAAUAAGAAUUAUAAACAUAAAUUCAUCUAAAUUUCAUUACUAUUAACAAACGUACGAUAAAAUCUUAUACCCUGCGUUUGAUAUACGAUGCAAAUCUCACAUGCUUGAUAUCUCCACUUGAAUCGUCAAUGUAUUCGGUGACUUUAACUUUGGAAUCAGGUUUAGUUCUCAUUAUGCUUAAUAAAAUAUCAUGCGGAACGAUACGAAAGACCUCAGCCACUAAUGGUUGAAGUUGUGGGUCAGUCAAUGCUAAAAUCUGCUCAAAUAUGGGUAACAUUUCGUCAGGAACAGCAGCAAGCACCUGAAAAACAUCACAUUCGAAAUCCAAGAUUAAGAAUAAAACCGUGAAAGAUUAAGUGAGAUUUUAUACAGACAAUCAAGACCAGAAACAAAGACCAAACAUAUCUAACUAACUAUGUCUCUUCCAUUACCAAAGUAAACUUAACUACACCACAAAAAUCAACUUUUAUUAUCAUAUACUUACUACAUCACAUUCGAAAUCCAAGAUUUAGAAUGAACCCGUGAAAGAUUAAGUGAGAUUUUAUACAGACAAUUAAGAGCAGAAGCAAAGACCAAACAUAUCUAACUAUGUCUCUUUCAUCACCAAAGUAAACUUAAUUACACAACAAAAAUCAACUUUUUAUUAUCAUAUACUUACUUCUGCAGGUGUAGUGUCUGAGCUCUCACCUCUUUGUGCCAUAUUUGAAGUUAGGAUCUGCAUUUUAAAUUUUAGCAAAAACUUAGCAGACAAGUUUCAAAAAGACAAACAGAGUAAACCAACAGUUUCCAUUUAAGAAGUAAUACAAAAAAAAAACUAAGGACUACUUGUAGACAUAUAUAGAACAACAUAACAGAAAUGAACAAGGUAAGUUUCUUACUAGCCAGAAAGGCAGAAACCACUAGAAUCUUGUAACUUAAUUUCUCUGUUCUCCAAAACUCUCUUCCUUUUAAACGUCAAAAGUGAGAUAAAAUGUUUCUGUGUUCUAACUCUAGAGGGAAACUUGUCACUAUAAAGAUUGCAGAGUUACAUAAUGUCUUUACGCUAUAAAUUUUUCCUUCUAGUUAUCUGCACCCAUUGAACACAACAUUGACCAUUAACACUAAUAUGGGGAGAUAUACAAUAUCUACUCAUCUUACUUCUGAAUCCACUCCUUACUAAAUAUAGAAAUUUCAGAAGCAACUUUAACUUUUUGACCCAUCACAGUUAAUUAUUUCGUUCGUAAAUGUUUUUACUCUCCUUAUUUUUAUUGGAUGUCAAUUUUUUUUUUCCUUUAGCCUUUCGCUCCACAAUCAACUGAUUCAAAAGGAAAAGAAAAAAAAAAAAAGUAUUUGCCAAGUUAUUCACGAAUAAAAUAUCUCUUCAAGCAUGAAUAAAAUAUUUUUGCACACUUAUAUUCUUAAAGUAUUUGGCAAUUUCUCCUCUAUCAUUUUGCUACAUAAUAACACUGAACAAAAGAAUGCAUUCAUAUAGAAGAAGAAGGAUAUAAUUUUUACAAGAUUGUUUCCGACAUGCACACUAAUUCAUCUAUACAUGUUUAUAGAGUUACUUAACUUGAGAGAACUUCAAUUUUGUUUUACCAAUAUUACUAGAGAUAACUAGAAAAGACACUUACAAAACUAACAUCUUCAAAAUAUAUACAGUUUUAUUGGUGAAGGGCCUCUCUUAAGCCGUGGACAAAACCUCCAACUCUGCCCACCAAAGAGGUGACAAUUUCGGCGUAGCAUCAUUCGGUGAUAUUCCCGUGAUCUCCCGUAACCAUCCUGUGACUUCCCGCAUUGUAGGUCUCUCUUUCGGGUCGGUCCUGAGGCAUGAUUUGAUCACUUCACCUAUAUUCUCAAUCUUGUCAUCAUAAGAUUCCAGUGUUGGAUCUACCAUCUUGGCUAGAGUCUCUCCUCUUAAGAAAUCAACCAGCGCGCUAUCUACCGAGUCAGGUUUGUUAACCGAUUCUGGGAGUUUCCCGCUUAUCAUUUCGAAUAAUAGUAAACCGAAGCUGUAAACGUUUUCUUCUGGAUUCAAGACUGAGAUGUUUGUGUCUAUGACUGUGUCGUUGAUGCUAGUCUCUGUCUCAGAUGGACCGAAACUGAAAUCCGAUACUUUGACAGCAUAAUCCUCUGUGAGCUGAAGAGAUGACGAGACGAGAUUGGUGUGAGCUAUAGGUGGAUUGAGUUGGUGCAUAUGGUCAAGGCAAUAUGCUAAUCCCAUUGCAAUUCUUAACCGCAUUCCCCAAUCCAAGUGUUCUGAUUCUUUAACUGUAAUAAAAAAAAUAUGUUUUGAUUCCCUUUAGAUCACAAAGAAAACAAGCCAACAUGUGACAUUGUGUAGCUAGCUUAUGACAAAAGUACUCACAGUGUAAAUGCUCAAAGAGUGAUCCAUUUGGAGCAUACUCAAAGAUCAAGAUCCUAGUGAAAGGUUCCUUUUCUUCACAAUACCCAAGAAGGUUUGCAAAAUUCUUGUGGUUGAUCUUCGAUAACAUUUCGAUCUGAAAUUGUGAAACAGAACACGCUAAAGUCGACUAUAUAUUGUUAUUAUAAGAAAUCAAAAAUGGGAAGAACCAUACCUUCUUCCUAAAGUGAAUUUCUGUAUUGUCCUUCCAGUCUUUGGCAGAGGUAGUAGCAAAAGAAGCAACAGCAAUCUCCACUCCACUUGAUAAUGUUCCUUUGAACAAUUUCCCAAUGGGGCAAGAUCCAAUGACAUUACUAAAAUCUUCACAUGCAGCUUCAAUCUCAGAUCUUUUAAGUACAGGUAUACCUGAGUAUCAAAAAAUCAAACAUUGAUGAAACCAAAACAUAUUAUGCCAUGUAACAAUUUAAGAAAGAAAAUUACCAGUUACGAAUACUUUCUGAAGUUGUCCGCUAAGACCAGUACGCCAAGGAUUCACAGUUUUCCCGGCCUUACUAGUGAAACAGUAGACACCGGUAACUACAAGAAGAAGAAAAAAGGCACCGCCUACGCAGCCAAUCACUAAAGGAACGGCCACUGAAGAAGAAUGAGCGUUUCUUGGAGUGGGAGGAUUUACAAGUGACACAGAAGGAGAAGGUGAAACAUUUUGUGUAGAUGAUCUCAUUUGUGGCUCCGGAACUGUUGAAGAUCUAGUUGAAACAUGUUUAGGAGAAGGUUUUGGGGAUGAUGAUGGUGUUACAGUUGCAGCCACAACGCGGUUUCUGCGGUCUUUUCUCGAAGGCAAAUCUUUGUUAGGGUAACGGACAAGUGUUUUCCUGUGAAAUCCAAAAGCUUUCCUAACAAAAGGUAGAAAAAUAAAUUAUAGCCAUUGCAAAAGCAUGCUCUAAAAUAAAGAUCAAAAUACGGUAAGUUAUAUAUAGUUUACAAGCAUGAAUAAGUGUCGGUUACAAGUAACAACAGUUUCUUCUACCAUACAUAGAUAGAGAAAAUGAAGCUACGGAAUGGUUAGAGAAAUUUGUAGAUCUACCAACCC
Molecule: long non-coding RNA, 8297 nt
Filed under: Arabidopsis lyrata
Lineage: Eukaryota; Viridiplantae; Streptophyta; Magnoliopsida; Brassicales; Brassicaceae
Description: long non-coding RNA (ALYR_LNC002154)
Source: RNAcentral